UACGUAGGGGGCAAGCGUUGUCCGGAAUUAUUGGGCGUAAAGAGCGUGUAGGCGGUCCGGUAAGUCCGCUGUGAAAGUCCAGGGCUCAACCCUGGAAUGCCGGUGGAUACUGCCGGGCUAGAGUCCGGAAGAGGCGAGUGGAAUUCCUGGUGUAGCGGUGAAAUGCGCAGAUAUCAGGAGGAACACCGGCGGCGAAGGCGGCCCUCUGGACGGUGACUGACGCUAAGACGCGAAAGCGUGGGGAGCAAACAGG
RNAcentral lists this ribosomal RNA (253 nucleotides) under uncultured bacterium. Its description in RNAcentral is "partial 16S ribosomal RNA". It matches the Rfam family "Bacterial small subunit ribosomal RNA", at positions 524 to 776 of the family's 1533-position model. The record is from RNAcentral.